RNAcentral lists this ribosomal RNA (400 nucleotides) under phytoplankton environmental sample. Its description in RNAcentral is "partial small subunit ribosomal RNA". It matches the Rfam family "Eukaryotic small subunit ribosomal RNA", at positions 587 to 989 of the family's 1831-position model. The record is from RNAcentral.
AGCUCCAAUAGCGUAUAUUAAAGUUGUUGCAGUUAAAAAGCUCGUAGUUGGAUUUGUGGCGUACGGCGGGCUCCCGUCACUAUUGGUGUCGGUGCUGCUUGGCGUUGCCAUCCUUGGGUGGAAUCUGUGUGGCAUUAGGUUGUCGUGCAGGGGAUGCCCAUCGUUUACUGUGAAAAAAUUAGAGUGUUCAAAGCAGGCUUACGCCGUUGAAUAUAUUAGCAUGGAAUAAUAAGAUAGGACCUUGGUACUAUUUUGUUGGUUUGCGCACCGAGGUAAUGAUUAAUAGGGCCUGUUGGGGGUAUUCGUAUUUCAUUGUCAGAGGUGAAAUUCUUGGAUUUUUGAAAGACGAACUACUGCGAAAGCAUUUACCAAGGAUGUUUUCAUUAAUCAAGAACGAAAG